Molecule: ribosomal RNA, 424 nt
Filed under: uncultured bacterium
Lineage: Bacteria
Description: bacterial SSU rRNA
Rfam family: Bacterial small subunit ribosomal RNA
Source: RNAcentral
GCAGAACGCGAAGAACCUUACCUGGGUUUGACAUGGCCGCAAAACCGGCAGAGAUGUCGGGUCCUUCGGGGGCGGUCACAGGUGGUGCAUGGCUGUCGUCAGCUCGUGUCGUGAGAUGUUGGGUUAAGUCCCGCAACGAGCGCAACCCUCGUUCGAUGUUGCCAGCGGUUCGGCCGGGGACUCAUCGAAGACUGCCGGGGUCAACUCGGAGGAAGGUGGGGAUGACGUCAAGUCAUCAUGCCCCUUAUGUCCAGGGCUUCACGCAUGCUACAAUGGCCGGUACAAUGGGCUGCGAUACCGUGAGGUGGAGCGAAUCCCAAAAAGCCGGUCUCAGUUCGGAUCGGGGUCUGCAACUCGACCCCGUGAAGUCGGAGUCGCUAGUAAUCGCAGAUCAGCAACGCUGCGGUGAAUACGUUCCCGGGUC